This 433-nucleotide ribosomal RNA is filed under the name uncultured Lachnospiraceae bacterium. RNAcentral's name for it is "partial 16S ribosomal RNA". It matches the Rfam family "Bacterial small subunit ribosomal RNA", at positions 341 to 792 of the family's 1533-position model. Lineage: Bacteria; Bacillati; Bacillota; Clostridia; Lachnospirales; Lachnospiraceae. The record is from RNAcentral.
ACGGAGGCAGCAGUGGGGAAUAUUGGACAAUGGGGGAAACCCUGAUCCAGCGACGCCGCGUGAGUGAAGAAGUAUUUCGGUAUGUAAAGCUCUAUCAGCAGGGAAGAUAAUGACGGUACCUGACUAAGAAGCCCCGGCUAACUACGUGCCAGCAGCCGCGGUAAUACGUAGGGGGCAAGCGUUAUCCGGAUUUACUGGGUGUAAAGGGAGCGUAGACGGAAGGCCAAGUCUGAUGUGAAAACCCAGGGCUCAACCCUGGGACUGCAUUGGAAACUGGUCAUCUAGAGUGCAGGAGGGGUAAGCGGAAUUCCUAGUGUAGCGGUGAAAUGCGUAGAUAUUAGGAGGAACACCGGUGGCGAAGGCGGCUUACUGGACUGUAACUGACGUUGAGGCUCGAAAGCGUGGGGAGCAAACAGGAUUAGAUACCCUGGUA